Molecule: transfer RNA, 71 nt
Filed under: Anaerolineae bacterium
Lineage: Bacteria; Bacillati; Chloroflexota; Anaerolineae
Also listed under: 1 other name
Description: tRNA-Gly
Rfam family: tRNA
About the family: Transfer RNA (tRNA) molecules are approximately 80 nucleotides in length.
Source: RNAcentral
GCGGGUGUAGUUUAGUGGUAGAACACCAGCCUUCCAAGUUGGCUGUGAGGGUCCGAUUCCCUCCACCCGCU